Molecule: long non-coding RNA, 264 nt
Filed under: Citrus sinensis (sweet orange)
Lineage: Eukaryota; Viridiplantae; Streptophyta; Magnoliopsida; Sapindales; Rutaceae
Description: long non-coding RNA (CSIN_LNC000085)
Source: RNAcentral
UCAAGAUGAUAAGUUUGACAAAGAAAUUUUUUUUUAAAGGCUCAAAAGGGUUAACUAUGAAUUUUUCACAAAAGGGAUGGUUAGAAAUGCUCAAGCGAAUCAAAGAUGGCAUUUCCAUCAUCUUUUAGGGCUCUAAAUAAUAUUCUAUAUCUACUAGUUAGAUGGGCAUCCAGAUGUAGCAACACACAUUUUUUUCUUUUUAUUUUAUUUUUUUAUCUUACAAUUUUUUAUUUUAUUUUAUUUUUUAGAGGGUUGACUCAAAAG